This 70-nucleotide transfer RNA is filed under the name Macropharyngodon negrosensis (yellowspotted wrasse). RNAcentral describes it as "tRNA-Ile". It matches the Rfam family "tRNA". Rfam says of the family: Transfer RNA (tRNA) molecules are approximately 80 nucleotides in length. Their secondary structure includes four short double-helical elements and three loops (D, anti-codon, and T loops). The record is from RNAcentral. Lineage: Eukaryota; Metazoa; Chordata; Actinopteri; Labriformes; Labridae.
GGAGCUGUGCCUGAACUAAAGGGCCACUUUGAUAGGGUGGAACAUGGGGGUUAAAAUCCCCCCACCUCCU